RNAcentral lists this ribosomal RNA (397 nucleotides) under uncultured bacterium. RNAcentral describes it as "bacterial SSU rRNA". It matches the Rfam family "Bacterial small subunit ribosomal RNA", at positions 355 to 769 of the family's 1533-position model. The record is from RNAcentral.
UGGGGAAUAUUGCACAAUGGAGGAAACUCUGAUGCAGCGACGCCGCGUGGAGGAAGAAGGUCUUCGGAUUGUAAACUCCUGUUGUUGAGGAAAAUAAGGAUGGUACUCAACAAGGAAGUGACGGCUAACUACGUGCCAGCAGCCGCGGUAAAACGUAGGUCACAAGCGUUGUCCGGAAUUACUGGGUGUAAAGGGAGCGCAGGCGGGUAUGCAAGUUGGAAGUGAAAUACAUGGGCUCAACCCAUGAACUGCUUUCAAAACUGUGUAUCUUGAGUAGUGCAGAGGUAGGCGGAAUUCCCGGUGUAGCGGUGGAAUGCGUAGAUAUCGGGAGGAACACCAGUGGCGAAGGCGGCCUACUGGGCACCAACUGACGCUGAGGCUCGAAAGUGUGGGUAGC